CUUAUUUCCACAUAGACCAUUAAAGUUCGUAUAAAUUUUCAUAAAAUAGCAAAGAUUGUGCUGAGGUCAUCUCAACUCAAGAUGGUCUCCCAUGUUCCUUUCAACAAAAAGCAACCAAAAGCCACGUUAGAAAGCAAAGUCAAGAAAGAGGUCAACCACCAAGAGACAUGUAAAGUAGUGGGAAAAAACCUUGGUGUCGAUUGUCAUUAAACGAAAUAUUCUAAGUCAUCUCGCAUAUGAACAUUGUCUUUUGUACACUUAAAGAUUUUGAGCAUAGUAAUUUUGUCAUUUGUCAGUUUUCGUCUCUUUGACACUUUUGUUUUAGUUUAUUACCAUCUCACUUAUAGGUUUUGCCUGCUUUCAUUCUUCCUCCGUUAAUGGGAGAUAAGCGUCUUCAAUCCUUGCUCUGCAUCAUCAAUUAACCGAUUGUCGUUCGUAUCUCACUUCGUCUUUCUCUUACUUUCUAAUUCCUUCUGCGUUUCUUCUUCGUUUCCACUAAUUUUGGGGUUUCAAUUCACGCAAGGGUUUCAGGUCACACAACAACGGAAGCCACUCUCGCAUUCAACAAUCGACUUCGGCCAAUUUCGAUUACGGAGUUGGGUAUGUUAUUUGUAUUUUGUACCUGUCUAUAGUUGUUGCUUUCGUUCUUGGAAGCAGUUGUCCGUUUGGAUUUUGGGUUAGUCGUUUUUUUAUUUUCAAUUUUUGUUGCAACUGUUGUUUGCUUUGUAUUGGCAUAAUGCUUCCCAGUAAGCGUAAGAGGGGCUCCACUUGUGUUGCGACAAGGGCUCGUCGUGACAUAAAACACAUCUUUUUGGGCUAUGAUCUGUCAAUUUCUUUUGAUAUAAAUGACUUACCAGGGGACUAGGUAGUGGAGAAUCGAGGUUAGAGAGAUCAAGUGCUCGUUAGGUUUGGGGUUUAUUGAAGGUUAAUUUGGGGAUUUCCAAAAGGUUUUGCUCAUCACUUUGCCAAAUGCACCAGCAGGUAUGUAUUAGUACUAUCUAGAGUAGUUUAUAUAGGUAUAUUAAUCUACCAAAUAGAAAUUUUAGAUAUUAUGUCCUGAAAAAAAGGUGAAAACUAACAUCCAAGUUUGUUUAAUUUGUUAUGGAGAAUCUUGAAGGGAACUUGAAUGGUGGCUUUUGAUGUACUUUGAUAUGGCUUUAUUUAACUAUGUAUUUUAGACCAUUGUCCUAAUAUAUUUGAGUAAAAGUGUUAUAUUUUAAUAUAUAUGACAAUUAAAAUCAAAGCUGUGAUGCAA
Molecule: long non-coding RNA, 1255 nt
Organism: Lactuca sativa (garden lettuce)
Lineage: Eukaryota; Viridiplantae; Streptophyta; Magnoliopsida; Asterales; Asteraceae
Source: RefSeq, a predicted model, not a curated record